AAAACGGCCCUUUUCAGGGCCACCAAGCUCGCAUGAUGUCUGACA
Non-coding RNA from Macrostomum lignano, 45 nucleotides. The record is from Rfam. NCBI's taxonomy places the organism in Eukaryota, Metazoa, Platyhelminthes, Macrostomidae.